GACGAACGCUGGCGGCGUGCUUAACACAUGCAAGUCGAACGGAAAGGCCCUGCUUUUGUGGGGUGCUCGAGUGGCGAACGGGUGAUUAACACGUGAGUAACCUGCCCUUGACUAUGGGAUAACUUCAGGAAACUUGGGCUAAUACCGGAUAGGAGCUCCUGCUGCAUGGUGGGGGUUGGAAAGUUUCGGCGGUUGGGGAUGGACUGGCGGCUUAUCAGCUUGUUGGUGGGGUAGUGGCUUACCAAGGCUUUGACGGGUAGCCGGCCUGAGAGGGUGACCGGCCACAUUGGGACUGAGAUACGGCCCAGACGCCUACGGGAGGCAGCAGUGGGGAAUAUUGCACAAUGGGCGGAAGCCUGAUGCAGCAACGCCGCGUGCGGGAUGACGGCCUUCGGGUUGUAAACCGCUUUCGCCUGUGACGAAGCGUGAGUGACGGUAAUGGGUAAAGAAGCACCGGCUAACUACGUG
This 468-nucleotide ribosomal RNA is filed under the name uncultured bacterium. Its description in RNAcentral is "partial 16S ribosomal RNA". It matches the Rfam family "Bacterial small subunit ribosomal RNA", at positions 28 to 507 of the family's 1533-position model. The record is from RNAcentral.